GCGCCCGCUUCUCUGCCUCAUUCCUCGGACGACUUACUGAUUAACAACUUAAAACACUCAAAAAUACAGACGGCUCUUCAAAGAUGAAGGAUCACGAUGCUCAUCCUGACUUCUCGACAUCAGCAGAUGCUUGAUGGUGCUGUGAAAGCCCAGAGAUGUGACUGGUCUGUAGGGGACUGAGGAGGUGAGGAUGAGUGUUUGCAGAGGAAACUUGUGCUUCUCUAAGGUGUUCGCUGUGGAGAGACUACACUUGCUCUUAAAUCAAACUAUAAUGAUAAAAUUCCUAAAGCUGAAAUUGAAGGUGCCUUUUUAAUUGCUUGGGUGCGGGGCCAUAUUUACAAAUAUUUCAAACCUAAGUAUUAAUAACCCCAGUGUGCCUUUGCAUGGAUAAACUAAUAUUUGCAUGUAAAACUAAUGGGGAUAUUACUGCUUUCAUUUGACUGGCAAAGUGUGAUUUGUACACAAUGUACAACAAAUGAACAGGAAAUCUAUUUUAAAUGAAAAUGUUAAAUAUUUGGCCACAACACUGACUUGUAACGCUGUUCCUGGAGUCCUGAUCCACACGUUUAGUUUUCUCUCUGCUAACACCUCAGGGAAGCAUCAGUCUUUGCCAUAAAUUUGUGCUCCUGUGAUGACACUUAUUUGCUACUCUUGAGAAGAUGUGAUGAUACUCCAACCACCAAGUUGUAUUAUCUGAGGCACUACUUACUCCCAACCUGUGAGCUUAAAAGUUUAUAUCAUUUUAAUCACUUUAUUUUUACCCACAGGUGUCCUCAGGUCCGAGUCCUAUCGCUAACAGGUAAUGGAUGUAAAUUCUUGAUCAUGUGUUACCAUAAGAAACUGUUAAUGAUGACUUUUGUUUUUAAAACGAUGGGAAUCUCUCUGAAAAAGAGUGAAAGAGGACUUUUUUCUGAUGCAGUUAAAACUAUAUUACAUACAUGCAUGUUAAAAUUUGGACUCUUCAACGAUGCGUCUCUCGUGCUUUGCAGACGGUCCUGAUGUUGGAUCCAGAUGUGCAUUCUUGGAUCGGCUGCAGGUAGGUUUUUUCUUUGAGGAGCCGGCCUGUAAAAAUAAAACUGUUUCGAUGCAAUGAUGAGUGCAUAGUUCAGCAGAUUAAACUGUGAAGAAUUACUGUUGUCUUUCGCUCCUAGCUGAUGUGUCGGCCUCUGCAACCUUUGAGGGUCACUGGGUUUGAGUUCUUUCUAAACUUAUAUAUUUAAUUUUUUUUUUUUUCAGGAGUCCCACAAAAGGCAAAGUGGAGGUGAGUUGAAAUCCUGCUCUACGUUUCUUUUAAUGACGCUCGAUGCAGUGAUGAGUGCAUAGUUCAACAGAUUAAACUAUGAAGAAUAACUAUCGUCUUUCGCUCCUAGCUGAGCAUCAACUUAUGUAGUCCCACAAUCACUGAUGUGUUUAAAACAAAGUGAUAAUCUAGUUCUUUCUCUUCAGAUGUGAACACCUUGCUGUCUGACUCGUUGCUGCUCUGCUGGUAAGCAUUAAAUCUCAAACACUGCAGCGGGGAUGUCACAGUACCACAAACCUGAUGCUCUGCACCAAUAGAACUACACAUGUCAAUACAGUUGAUGGACAAAAUGACCAUUCACACACUGACAUGGUGGCAGAUAAUUUAUCUCAAAUAACACUUUUAACAAGGCACAGACUAAAUUGCAUAGUAUGGUAAUUACACAUUUAUAGACUUGUUAUACAAAAGGAUAAGCAUGACUAGAAUUACCACAGCAAACCAUUUAACCUAUGAAAUAACAGCCGUCUCAAUGGUAACAUCAUCAGGAUGAUGCCUUGAAUUAAAACUUGCUCAGCUUUAAGUCUUUGAAGUUUAAGUGCUUUGUUAACUUGUGGUGCUUGGACUGUAUGAAACUGCAUCAUUCUUUGAUCGCUUACUCCACCUAAAAAGUGUAAAGUACAUCAUUCAUAGCAAAAUACGAACUCUGCCAUAUGAGUUUAAGCGGAGCUAUUAUGGCGGCUGCAUAAAUGGUCCUUUUCCACAGGUAGUGUUUCCUGUGCUGUUGGAUUUCCUCUAAUAUGUAAGAAUGUAUCUAGAAAUAUGGCAGCUUAGUACAUACACUGCCUGCAGUACCAAAGAAAAGCACGUGAUCUCCGAUUAUUUAUUUAUUUUUUUAUUUUUUUUUUUUUGUAACAAAUGUUAGCGUUAGGUAUCAUUUCUGGUGACAUCCCUGCACAGCAGCUAACAGCUUUCAGAUGUGAUGAGUUUGAAUCAGGUCGCUGAUCCAGUUGAGGAUAAUUUGUAACUGACUCUGAUCUGGGUUUUUAAUGUUGGGGGGAAAAAAGUGAGCAUGGUUCUGUAAAUUUACCCGAAACUUAAUUUGUUUUUACAGAACGAGCGGGCUCGCGACUCAUCACCAUUCAGAAGAUGAUUAAACACUCAUGGUUGUUCUGUGUGAGGGAUGGAGACCCAGUGUGGACCACACCAGAGUGACUGAGAUGGGGGGGAAAAGUUCAAGUUCUUUACCUGGUGAGUGUUUUUGUCCAGUCCUGAAUCACAAUUAUUUAAGGUGGCCACAAGACUAGUGAUGAUCUGAUUUUGCCAGAUGACUUAAGCUGAUUAUAACCCUUACCGUUCCAUUUUUUUCUGAGGUCAUGUGGUCAUUAACUGCUAGUUAACUCUUCUGUUAGUAGUCUGUACUUGUAUUUUAAUGAUUUCUUCUCUACACAGGUGUGAAGCCUCAGACACUGAAGCACAAUCAAGCACAAGUCUGUCACUUCAUAAUAAAUCUAAAUGGUGCUGUUUCCUCAAAAGCUGGAAAGUGAUGUUGACAGAUUUUCACCUGCAGGAAUCGGUGUUCAGACCCUGCUCGUGCUAUUACGUCUGGAUUGUGACCUGAUCCUGUUGACUUCAAUUUGUAACAAUAAAAUAUUUGUUAUUGACUCA
Astatotilapia calliptera (eastern happy) is the source of this 2905-nucleotide long non-coding RNA. NCBI's taxonomy places the organism in Eukaryota, Metazoa, Chordata, Actinopteri, Cichliformes, Cichlidae. The record is from Ensembl.